GGUGAACGCUGGCGGCGUGGAUAAGGCAUGCAAGUCGAGCGCCCCGCAAGGGGAGUGGCAGACGGGUGAGUAACACGUGGGAACGUACCCUUUGGUUCGGAAUAACUUGGGGAAACUCAAGCUAAUACCGGAUAAGCCCUUAUGGGGAAAGGUUUACUGCCGAAGGAUCGGCCCGCGUCUGAUUAGCUAGUUGGUGAGGUAAUGGCUCACCAAGGCGACGAUCAGUAGCUGGUCUGAGAGGAUGAUCAGCCACACUGGGACUGAGACACGGCCCUGGCUCCUACGGGAGGCAGCAUUGGGGAAUCUUGGACAAUGGGGGCAACGCUGAUCCAGCCAUGGCGCGUGAGUGAUUAAGUCCUUAGGGUUGUAAAGCUCUUUUACCCGGGACGAUAAUGACUGUACCGGCAGAAUAAGCCACGGCUAAUGUCGUGCCAGCCGCCGCAGUAA
Molecule: ribosomal RNA, 447 nt
Filed under: uncultured bacterium
Lineage: Bacteria
Description: partial 16S ribosomal RNA
Rfam family: Bacterial small subunit ribosomal RNA
Source: RNAcentral